This 448-nucleotide ribosomal RNA is filed under the name uncultured bacterium. RNAcentral describes it as "bacterial SSU rRNA". It matches the Rfam family "Bacterial small subunit ribosomal RNA", at positions 335 to 799 of the family's 1533-position model. The record is from RNAcentral.
ACUCCUACGGGAGGCAGCAGUGGGGAAUAUUGCACAAUGGGCGCAAGCCUGAUGCAGCAACGCCGCGUGAGCGAUGAAGGCCUUCGGGUCGUAAAGCUCUGUCCUCAAGGAAGAAUAAAUGACGGUACUUGAGGAGGAAGCCCCGGCUAACUACGUGCCAGCAGCCGCGGUAAUACGUAGGGGGCAAGCGUUAUCCGGAAUCACUGGGCGUAAAGGGUGCGUAGGCGGUUUUCUAAGUCAGAAGUGAAAGGCUAUGGCUCAACCAUAGUAAGCUUUUGAAACUGUUAAACUUGAGUGCAGGAGAGGAAAGUGGAAUUCCUAGUGUAGAGGUGAAAUUCGUAGAUAUUAGGAGGAACACCAGUGGCGAAGGCGACUUCUGGACUGUAACUGACGCUGAGGCACGAAAGCGUGGGGAGCGAACAGGAUUAGAUACCCUGGUAGCACAGAG